Long non-coding RNA from Rhincodon typus (whale shark), 741 nucleotides. RefSeq lists it as uncharacterized. The record is from RefSeq and is a predicted model, not a curated record. NCBI's taxonomy places the organism in Eukaryota, Metazoa, Chordata, Chondrichthyes, Orectolobiformes, Rhincodontidae. The transcript is spliced from 3 exons.
AAGAGGUUAUCUUGAACCGUACGUGUGGAGUGACUUUACUUUGUCUUCUCGGCCAGACCCUGACAACAGAAGGAUUUUACAACAGUAACAAGGUUUUAUGGAGUUUGCUGACUCGUGACGUGAGGAGGAGUCCAAGGAGGGGCAAUCAAGUGAAAAGAAAAUGUCAUCUUACACUGUUUUCCCUCGACUGAUAAUGUACACAGGAGACUGCGAGGGACUCACCUUCGGAAUGCUUUCCAAAUUCCGCAUUACAAUAAAAUAGCUUCAAUGGUCAGUUCAAACUAAAUAUAACUGUUUCGAAAACCACGUGGAAGAUCCGCAGUAAUCGUAGAUAAUAAAUGACAAGAAUGAUUAUAUGACUUUUAAUUUACUCACCAUGAUGCACAUUUAGAGAUUUGAAGCUGUUUACCUUAACUACAUUAAAUUAUACAUUUGCGUGUAACUUUCGAAAUUGAUGUAUUUUGUAUCCUAACUGCGAACAACAGGUUUGAAUCAAUUUUACUGACUCACUGUUUCCAAUGCCAUUUGGUAAUUCUCGAAAUUUCUUCGUCCGUUUUGCAUAUGAAGUCCACAUUUAUUUUCCAAAGUUAAUGUGUAUUUUAAACGUACCAGCACCGGCAAAAAAAACAGCGUUUCUGAUAAAUCAUUCAAUUAUUGCAUCUGGCUGUGUUUAGCUCCGCCAUCACUGCUAACCCGAAUGAUGACUUAUUUAAUCGUAUCUAAUUGCGUAUGUGUGCACGU